AACGAACGCUGGCGGCAGGCCUAACACAUGCAAGUCGAGCGCUCACUUCGGUGGGAGCGGCGGACGGGUUAGUAACGCGUGGGAAUAUGCCCGGUACUAAGGAAUAGCCUUUGGAAACGAAGAGUAAUACCUUAUACGCCCUUCGGGGGAAAGAUUUAUCGGUAUCGGAUUAGCCCGCGUAAGAUUAGAUAGUUGGUGGGGUAAUGGCCUACCAAGUCUACGAUCUUUAGCUGGUUUUAGAGGAUGAUCAGCAACACUGGGACUGAGACACGGCCCAGACUCCUACGGGAGGCAGCAGUGGGGAAUCUUAGACAAUGGGCGCAAGCCUGAUCUAGCCAUGCCGCGUGAGUGAAGAAGGCCUUAGGGUCGUAAAACUCUUUCGCCAGAGAUGAUAAUGACAGUAUCUGGUAAAGAAACCCCGGCUAACUCCGUG
RNAcentral lists this ribosomal RNA (433 nucleotides) under uncultured Thalassovita sp. RNAcentral's name for it is "bacterial SSU rRNA". It matches the Rfam family "Bacterial small subunit ribosomal RNA", at positions 29 to 507 of the family's 1533-position model. The record is from RNAcentral. Lineage: Bacteria; Pseudomonadati; Pseudomonadota; Alphaproteobacteria; Rhodobacterales; Roseobacteraceae.